AACGAACGCUGGCGGCAGGCCUAACACAUGCAAGUCGAGCGCGCCCUUCGGGGUGAGCGGCGGACGGGUGAGUAACCCGUGGGAACGUGCCCUUUUCUACGGAAUAUCCUCGGGAAACUGAGCGUAAUACCGUAUACGCCCUCUGGGGGAAAGAUUUAUCGGAAAAGGAUCGGCCCGCGUUGGAUUAGGUAGUUGGUGGGGUAAUGGCCUACCAAGCCGACGAUCCAUAGCUGGUUUGAGAGGAUGAUCAGCCACACUGGGACUGAGACACGGCCCAGACUCCUACGGGAGGCAGCAGUGGGGAAUCUUAGACAAUGGGGGCAACCCUGAUCGAGCCAUGCCGCGUGAGUGAUGAAGGCCUUAGGGUUGUAAAGCUCGUUCAGCUGGGAAGAUAAUGACGGUACCAGCAGAAGAAGCCCCGGCUAACUCCGUG
Molecule: ribosomal RNA, 433 nt
Filed under: uncultured bacterium
Lineage: Bacteria
Description: partial 16S ribosomal RNA
Rfam family: Bacterial small subunit ribosomal RNA
Source: RNAcentral